GGUUUCCAUAUGGUCGUAACGGUCGUAAAGAUUGAGUCACGAUCUUUCUCAUCAGCCGAAAUACUUGGUACUGAGAAUAUACGCGAAGUGAACGUAAUUAUAACUAGAGAACACUUAUGAUUUAUAUGUGGUUUACAGGUAUAAACUAUUAUAAACUGGCCUUUGAGAAAGAUCGUGACUCUAUUUUUACGACCAUUACGACCAUAUGGAAACC
This is a non-coding RNA of Paramuricea clavata, 214 nucleotides long. The record is from the annotation of a GenBank genome assembly. Lineage: Eukaryota; Metazoa; Cnidaria; Anthozoa; Malacalcyonacea; Plexauridae.